Non-coding RNA from Candidatus Omnitrophica bacterium CG1_02_41_171, 87 nucleotides. The record is from Rfam. NCBI's taxonomy places the organism in Bacteria, Pseudomonadati, Candidatus Omnitrophota.
GGAGAGGUCGCAUAGCCUGGUCGAGUGCGCGCGACUGGAAAUCGCGUAGACUGAAAGGUCUCGGGAGUUCAAAUCUCCCCCUCUCCG